Molecule: ribosomal RNA, 498 nt
Filed under: uncultured bacterium
Lineage: Bacteria
Description: bacterial SSU rRNA
Rfam family: Bacterial small subunit ribosomal RNA
Source: RNAcentral
AUGGCUCAGGAUGAACGCUGGCGGCGUGCCUAACACAUGCAAGUCGAACGGAAACUAAGCGCUCGGGGACUUCGGUCAAUGUUGCUGGUUUAGUGGCGGACGGGUGAGUAACGCGUGGAUAACCUGCCUCAUACAGGGGGAUAACAGUUAGAAAUGACUGCUAAUACCGCAUAAGCGCACAGUUUCGCAUGGAACAGUGUGAAAAACUCCGGUGGUAUGAGAUGGAUCCGCGUCUGAUUAGCUAGUUGGCGGGGUAACAGCCCACCAAGGCGACGAUCAGUAGCCGGCCUGAGAGGGUGAACGGCCACAUUGGGACUGAGACACGGCCCAAACUCCUACGGGAGGCAGCAGUGGGGGAUAUUGCACAAUGGGGGAAACCCUGAUGCAGCCGACGCCGCGUGAGUGAAGAAGUAUUUCGGUAUGUAAAGCUCUAUCAGCAGGGAAGAUAAUGACGGUACCUGACUAGGAAGCACCGGCUAAAUACGUGCCAGCCGCCGC